This 460-nucleotide ribosomal RNA is filed under the name uncultured bacterium. RNAcentral's name for it is "SSU rRNA". It matches the Rfam family "Bacterial small subunit ribosomal RNA", at positions 26 to 518 of the family's 1533-position model. The record is from RNAcentral.
AGAAUCAACGCUGGCGGCGUGCCUAACACAUGCAAGUCGAACGAGAAAGUGGAGCAAUCCAUGAGUAAAGUGGCGCACGGGUGAGUAACACGUGACUAACCUACCCUUGAGUGGGGAAUAACCUAGGGAAACCUGGGCUAAUACCGCAUAACACCUACGGGUCAAAGGAGCAAUUCGCUUAAGGAGGGGGUCGCGGCAGAUUAGCUAGUUGGCGGGGUAAUGGCCCACCAAGGCAGUGAUCUGUAUCCGGCCUGAGAGGGCGCACGGACACACUGGAACUGAAACACGGUCCAGACUCCUACGGGAGGCAGCAGUGGGGAAUUUUGCGCAAUGGGGGAAACCCUGACGCAGCAACGCCGCGUGGAGGAUGAAGUCCCUUGGGACGUAAACUCCUUUCGACCGGGAAGAUUAUGACGGUACCGGAAGAAGAAGCCCCGGCUAACUUCGUGCCAGCAGCCGC